RNAcentral lists this unclassified non-coding RNA (172 nucleotides) under uncultured Saccharomycetales. Its description in RNAcentral is "sequence contains ITS2". The record is from RNAcentral. Lineage: Eukaryota; Fungi; Ascomycota; Saccharomycetes.
CUCUCUUAAACCUUUGGUUUAGUAUUGAAGGAAGAGGACUCGUCCUCCCCUUUGAAAUGACUUGGCAAUUCUUGUUUUGUAUCAAGUGCUUUAGGCUUUAAUAUUAGGUUCUACCACUUAUUAAAUACCCUUUUGUGCUACAAUCCAAGCGGUGGCCUAACAACAUCUCAAA